Molecule: ribosomal RNA, 440 nt
Filed under: uncultured bacterium
Lineage: Bacteria
Description: partial 16S ribosomal RNA
Rfam family: Bacterial small subunit ribosomal RNA
Source: RNAcentral
CCUACGGGGGGCAGCAGUGGGGAAUAUUGCACAAUGGGGGAAACCCUGAUGCAGCGACGCCGCGUGAGUGAAGAAGUAUUUCGGUACGUAAAGCUCUAUCAGCAGGGAAGAAAAUGACGGUACCUGACUAAUAAGCCACGGCUAACUACGUGCCAGCAGUCGCGGUAAUACGUAGGGGUAAAGCGUUAGCCGGAUGUAAUGGGUGUAGCGGGAGCGUAGACGGCAGCGCAAGUCUGGAGUGAAAUCCCAUGGGUUAACCACCGGACUGCUUUGGAUACUGGGCAGCUAGAGUGCAGGAGAGGUAAGCGGAAUUCCGGGGGUAGCGGUGAAAUGCGUAGAUAUUAGGAGGAACACCAGUGGCGAAGGCGGCUUACUGGACUGUAACUGACGUUGAGGCUCGAAAGCGUGGGGAGCAAACAGGAUUAGAUACCCUGGUAGUC